RNAcentral lists this ribosomal RNA (362 nucleotides) under uncultured bacterium. RNAcentral's name for it is "partial 16S ribosomal RNA". It matches the Rfam family "Bacterial small subunit ribosomal RNA", at positions 338 to 697 of the family's 1533-position model. The record is from RNAcentral.
CCUACGGGCGGCAGCAGUGAGGAAUAUUCGUCAAUGGCCGGAAGGCUGAACCAGCCAUGCCGCGUGAAGGUCAGUGCCCUAUGGGCGGUAAACUUCUUUUGUGCGGGAGCAAUAAUGGUCACGGGUAGCCAGACGAGAGUACCGUACGAUUAACCAUCGGCUAAAUCUGCGCCAGCAGCCGCGGUCAUACGGGGGGGGCAAGCGUUAUCCGGAUAUAUCGGGUUUAAAGGGUGCGUAGGCUGUGAGGUAAGUCAGCGGUGAAAUGCCCCCGCUCAAAGGGGUGAAGUGCCAUUGAUACUGGCUAGCUGGAAUGAGGAUGCGGUAAGAGGAAUGUGAGGUGUAGCGGUGAAAUGCAUAGAUAU